RNAcentral lists this ribosomal RNA (502 nucleotides) under uncultured bacterium. RNAcentral's name for it is "partial 16S ribosomal RNA". It matches the Rfam family "Bacterial small subunit ribosomal RNA", at positions 30 to 523 of the family's 1533-position model. The record is from RNAcentral.
AUUGAACGCUGGCGGCAUGCUUAAUACAUGCAAGUCGAACGGCAGCAUGGAUUGUAGCAAUACAAUUUGAUGGCGAGUGGCGGACGGGUGAGUAACGCGUAGGAAUCUGCCUUGAAGAGGGGGACAACCCGAGGAAACUCGGGCUAAUACCGCAUGAUAUCGAGAGAUUAAAGUUGGGGCGACCGGACACUUCAAGAGGAGCCUGCGUCCGAAUAGCUAGUUGGUUAGGUAAAGGCUGACCAAGGCGAUGAUCGGUAACUGGUCUGAGAGGACGACCAGUCACACUGGGACUGAGACACGGCCCAGACUCCUACGGGAGGCAGCAGUGGGGAAUAUUGGACAAUGGGGGCAACCCUGAUCCAGCAAUGCCGCGUGUGUGAAGAAGGCCUUCGGGUUGUAAAGCACUUUAGGUUGGGAAGAAGGUGGUUAUUUUAAGAGAUAGAUCACUUGACGGUACCGACAGAAUAAGCACCGGCUAACUCUGUGCCAGCCGCCGCAGUAA